Molecule: ribosomal RNA, 493 nt
Filed under: uncultured bacterium
Lineage: Bacteria
Description: bacterial SSU rRNA
Rfam family: Bacterial small subunit ribosomal RNA
Source: RNAcentral
AUUGAACGCUGGCGGCAGGCCUAACACAUGCAAGUCGAACGGCAGCACAGAAGAGCUUGCUCUUUGGGUGGCGAGUGGCGGACGGGUGAGUAACACGUAGGAAUCUACCCAGUAGUGGGGGAUAACCUGGGGAAACCCAGGCUAAUACCGCAUACGCCCUGAGGGGGAAAGCGGGGGAUCUUCGGACCUCGCGCUAUUGGAUGAGCCUGCGUCGGAUUAGCUAGUUGGUGGGGUAAGGGCCCACCAAGGCGACGAUCCGUAGCUGGUCUGAGAGGAUGACCAGUCACACCGGAACUGAGACACGGUCCGGACUCCUACGGGAGGCAGCAGUGGGGAAUAUUGCACAAUGGGCGAAAGCCUGAUGCAGCGACGCCGCGUGAGGGAUGACGGCCUUCGGUUGGUUAAACCUACUUUCUAGCAGGGAAGAAGACGCAAGUGACGGUACCGUGCAGAAGAAGACACCGGCUAACUACGUGCCAGCAGCCGCGGUAAU